CUUUUCGGUGUGAGCUGGGUGAGGUCGCAGAGACCAGUGAGAAGCGACUGUUUACUAAAAACACAGGUCCGUGCGAAGUCGUAAGACGAUGUAUACGGACUGACGCCUGCCCGGUGCUGGAAGGUUAAGAGGACCGGUUAACUGCACUUGUGUGGUGAAGCUGAGAAUUUAAGCCCCAGUAAACGGCGGUGGUAACUAUAACCAUCCUAAGGUAGCGAAAUUCCUUGUCGGGUAAGUUCCGACCUGCACGAAUGGCGUAACGACUUCUCAGCUGUCUCAACCAUAGACUCGGCGAAAUUGCAGUACGAGUAAAGAUGCUCGUUACGCGCGGCAGGACGAAAAGACCCCGGGACCUUCACUAUAGCUUGGUAUUGGUGUUCGGUUCGGUUUGUGUAGGAUAGGUGGGAGACUGUGAAGCGGUGACGCUAGUUACUGUGGAGUCGUUGUUGAAAUACCACUCUGAUCGUAUUGGAUACCUCAACCUCGGACCAUGAUCUGGUUCAGGGACAGUGCCUGGU
RNAcentral lists this non-coding RNA (518 nucleotides) under Rhodococcus sp. EPR-157. Its description in RNAcentral is "Bacterial large subunit ribosomal RNA". It matches the Rfam family "Bacterial large subunit ribosomal RNA", at positions 1753 to 2262 of the family's 2925-position model. The record is from Rfam by way of RNAcentral. Lineage: Bacteria; Bacillati; Actinomycetota; Actinomycetes; Mycobacteriales; Nocardiaceae.